RNA transcript from Planococcus citri (citrus mealybug), 2595 nucleotides. It is a transcript of the gene named moody, with no coding region annotated. The transcript is spliced from 9 exons. The record is from RefSeq and is a predicted model, not a curated record. NCBI's taxonomy places the organism in Eukaryota, Metazoa, Arthropoda, Insecta, Hemiptera, Pseudococcidae.
UUCUGUACAUCGUCAUCGAGACAUAUUAUUACCACCGCGGCAUAGUUUCGAUAUGUGUAAGCAGUAAGUGAGCUUAUUGCAGUAUGUAUACUGUGUGCUGUGCACGUCUAUCGACGAGUAGCAGGCAGAAAUACUAUACUAAUCUAGCUACGAACAUUUAUAUUAUUACUAGUUUAUCCCAUCGUAUAUACGAGCUCUCUUGCGUCGCGUUCGCAUCAAAUUAAUCGGUUUUUAUUACCAUUAUGAAAAGUUCCAACAUGAAAACAACGUUCCGUAUUUUAUGUCGCACAUUAAAAGGUAUUUGUAUUUAUGAACGUUGUUAAAUCAUCCCCUGAAUCAUCCCUCCCUCCACCCAGCACCGAUCGUCGGCAUUUUGGAAACAAGCUUACGCUGCGUUCUUAUAGCGAUGAAGUUUUCGUCGUUCGCCAACGUUUGAGUUUGAAACUCGCGCCAAUCGUUCUGUGCUCGUUAAAAUCGCGUGUCGUAAACUGGUUGAUUUUAUUGCGGAAAUUCGCGAAUUUUAAGCAAAGUUGUGUGUGAAAUGUGAAUGUAAAAUGUUCGCGAUGUAAUCGAUAUAGCCGUUGAUAAUGCGCUCGUUAUUUAACGCGUCGUCAUCGGUUUGGGGUUUGUUUCUGAUUGGCCAUAGAGAGGAUGAUACCAGAAAUGUAGAAUCACAAAAAUAAUGAAGCCAUAUGGAUAUUAAGCCGGAAUAGAAAAUGAGCUUCGAAUUCCUUGACUUACAAAUACUGGCGGGAUGUAUUACGAUUUUUAUCAUUGUCGUAGGAGUAUUCGGAAACUUACUUACUAUCGUGGCGCUGUCCAAAUAUCCUCGGGUGCGAAAUGUUACCGCUGCUUUUAUUAUAAGUUUAUGCGUAGCUGAUGGAAUAUUUUGUGCGGCAGUGCUUCCUUUUCACGCUAUGAGAUUUUUUCGAAGUAAAAUUUGGCAAAGUAAUCCCUUUCUGUGCAAUGCGAUACCAUUUUUACAAUAUGGCAACGUUGGAAUUUCACUUCUAUUCAUAGCAAUGAUUACGAUUAAUAGGUACGUGAUGAUCGCACAUCAUACCAUGUACAGUAGAAUAUACAAGCCAAUAAAUGUCGUAGCUAUGGUUAUAUUUUGUAUAAUAUUCAGUUUUGGAAUGCAGUUACCUACACUUUUUGGAAUUUGGGGAAAAUACCAGUACCACAGCACAUUAGGGACUUGUUCUAUUAGUGAAGAUGAACGAGGACAUUCGUCGAAAGUCGUACUAUUUGCAAUGGGAUUCGUAGUACCAUGCGUCAUCAUUAUAUGCUGCUACACGCGAAUAUUUUGGGUUGUUCACAGCUCAGAGAUGAAAAUGACACAGCACGCUUUACGCACUUCGAAUAAUAACACAGAUACCGGUAAAGCCAGAGAAACGAAACGUAAACGUAACGAAUGGAGGGUUACGAAAAUGGUGUUGGCCAUCUUCCUAUCAUUUUUAAUUUGCUACUUGCCCAUAACUAUAGUGAAAAUAGUAGAUCGAAAAGUUGAAUGUUUAUCUUGGCAUAUAAUAUCGUACGUGAUGCUGUUCAUGUCGGCCUGCAUAAAUCCAAUAAUAUACGUGAUUAUGAAUAAACAAUACCGUAAAGCGUAUGGAAACGUGCUUAGGUGCAGAGCCGCUCAAUUUUUCACUCCUAGCUCAGGUAAUUCGCUUCCACUGUAACAAAAUAUCUACCUAGCUGCCUGCAGUGCCUGCAAAACAGGAUGUCGUGUUGUUUUACUACUCGUGUACCUAUUUAAAAAAAGAUGUGAUAUAAAAAAUAACUACCCGUAAUCGAAGCCAGAAGACCUGCAGAAGAGCAGCCAAGUAAAACAAUGAUGUCUCAAGUAUCAGUCAGUAUGAUUCCAAUGAACGCGAUUGAUCAAGAUAAACACGCAGUAAUCAAGAAUUAAUCGUUGAUUGAAAAUAUAUAUUAGGCUGAAAAUUAGUACCAUUUUAAAUUAAUUGUUGUACCAUAACUGUGUAAAUAUUCCAUUAUUUUUGGCAUUUAUUUGUACCUGAGUAUUUUGAUAAGUUUUUUAAAAACGUGAAUUGAAUAUCAAUAAUAUGAGUGUCAUUUGUCAAAUUGUCUUCCAAAUUUUGUUUUUAAUUUUUUUUUAUGAACUGACUGAGUGGAGUAAUUAGUUUGGAUGAAUCAGUUUUUAAAUACGACCCUAAUUUUAAAACUUUCAAUUUUUAAAAAUGCAUUUCGAAUACAUCUUCUACAUUAACAUUCCAUAAAUUGAUUAAAUGCAAAGUCCUUGUCAUUUAUUUGGUUUUUUUUUUAGUGAAAUGUUUUUAAUUAGGUAUAUGUAAUUUAUUUAUUUAUGUAUUUACUUAUGGUCAAAUUAUUUUCCUCUUUAUUUAGCUGGUUUUGUUUGAAACCUAUCAGAAACCUUCGAAUUACCACCGUAUUUUUGUAUAAUUUAGUCGAGACGGAUUUUUAUUUUAAUUAAGUAGGAUAUUUUGCGUUGUCUAAAAGUAGAUAUAAUUGAAUUUCAUGUUGUAUUUGUGUUUGUAUUUGCUCGUAAUUAUUUGCAGUACUGGAGCAAGUAGUCUGCUCUUUGCUCAAUAAAAAUCUUCAAUUUGUUCACGA